UUUACACUUGCUAAUAGUUGAAGAUCCAUGCUGCGAAUAUUCUUUUGUCUGACACAAAAUUAGUUUGAGGUUCUUCAUCUUCAGGACUUAACCGUUUACUUUCUUUGCCAGUUUCAGUCUGUCUCUUUGAUUCAUUUUUCAUCCUCUCCUUUCCUUGCUUCGUUUUCUUUUAUCGUUCAAAUUUUGGUCUAAGUGGCAACAGGAGUGAUGAGCCUUCAUAUUCUAGCUCAAAUUUCACUAUGAAUGUUUGAUUCAAAACCCUCAAUUUUGUCGUGAAGAUGCUGUUGUACAAGACGCGUGGAGAUUUUGCACGCAUCAUAUUCGACAAAGUUCCCUAACGUUUAAUGGAAUCAGCUCUUCCUCUUGUCACUCGACUUCGGAAUGACACGGCUCAUUCGAUUGAUUUUUCAGUUGAAUUCGGCAAUUGCCCGAUCCCCAGCCUGAAGCCUGGCGGAUGGUGGCUGGUUAAUUUGUCCAAAGUUAUCAAAAUUUGCCGCCGUCUCGAAUCUGAUAGAUGGUUGAUUAAGGUUCUGAUUGAUAAAAUAAUCACGGGGAUGACACUGGAUGCAUGACUAUUUCUCCGCUCUGUUAUAAUCACCUUCAAAGUCGGGAGAAUCCAUGAUUGGAAGUUCGAAUUGAUAGCUGAAGCAAUUGAAGAAAAGCCCAUCGACAUCGUGCUUCGCCUUGGGUAAUCUAUAGAUUUCAUAUGGUCUGUUUUUAGAAGAGUUUUAUUCCGUUAACAAAUUAAUUUGACUUAUUAUUUGUUUUCAUCACCCUUCUUUAUUUUUAUUUUUUGAAUUUACAGUCGGGGUAUUGGAUUUGUCUUGAUGAGAAAUAUAGUGCGGAAUAGGAGAGAAUCUGCUAUAAUUGCAUGUUCACUUGUGGAAUUUCCAUUAAAUCCGCAUCAAAUUAGGCACUGAUAUAUCUAUUUGCAUUGGGCAUUACUUCCCAAAAAGUAUGGACUGUUCUCUUCGUUUGUUUUUAGCCCCUUGAUACUAUCGCAGUCGCAGUUUGCCCAAUUUCGACAGCACAUUGUAAAUAUUACCUCAAGUUUAAGUUGUAAUUUUCUUUUUAUUAUAAUAGUUAUUUCAGUAGUAAACAUUUAGUAUGAUUCAUCGUCUUUUAAAUUUUUACUCCUGUCACUUAGGUUUUUGUUCCGAAUGCUAUUAUAAAGGGUAUUAGUCAUUCAAAAAUCUUUCAUGCUCACUGGUGUUCGCCCCCUGCACUAGCAAUUGUAAUUUUCUGCUUUCGUCAAUUAUAAUGUUCAGUUUUCAUCAAUCAAUGUUCAAUUUACUUUCAAUGUAUUCAAAUUCUCUGUUGUAAGCUUUUUACAAAAUUGUAAUCAAAUUUUCUUUCGUCCCGACGCGAUCGAGAAAAGGCGGAAGGUAGUCUAGCGGAGCAGACUUCUGCCACACGGUGUCCCUUUCUGUGCCAAGAAGAAGGCACAUCGUGAAAGUUGGUAUCAGAGCUGCGGUUCACGACCCUCAAUAAGAAAGCUAUAGAUCGAAUUACAUCCCACACCACUGAAGUGGGAGAGCCUCAAAAGAAGAGUACUACUAAACAGCGCGUGGAUGCGCUUAAUGAGACAACUAUUAAGUUGUGCUAUGCUUUGGAAGGUCUCAAGGAAAAAGUCAAGAUGGUAGAAUCCGAGAUUCAUGGAUUACAUAUCCAACUGGAUGAAAGCCAAAGGGCUUGCGCAACAAUGAUUGAAGCUACUGCAAUCAUUCCUGAUCUGCAGGAUGAAAUGGAAGCGUUGAGAGCUCAAUUACAAGUACUCCAACGUACGGUGGGCAAUGGGCAAGCUCACGUACCUAAGUAUGCUCCCAAACUCAGAAUUCCUGAACCAUGUACCUACAGAGGGGCACGUGAUGCAAAAGAAGUCGAAAACUUCUUAUUUGACAUGGAACAGUACUUUUUCGCAGCUUCGAUUGAAGACGAAGCUAGAAAGAUAACCACAGCUACUAUGUAUCUGGGUGGAGAUGCAAAAUUAUAGUGGCAAACCCAAUAUGCUGACUUUCAUGCCAACAGGAUCCGAAUAGAUUCUUGGGAUCUCCUCAACGAAGCGAUCAGAUCUCAAUUUUUCCUGAAAAAUGUCGAGUAUCAGGCUCGAUGAGCACUUCAAGACCUGAAACACACAAACUCUAUCAGGGAGUAUGUGAAAUCCUUUUCAGGGCAUAUGCUAAAUACUCAAGAUAUGUCGGAAAAGGAUAAACUCUUCACCUUUAUGGAAGGGUUGUGUAGAAUCCUGAAUUUUUAACUUAAAUUCGCAUAUAUUUUUAUUUGCCAUUUAAUAGGAAUGCAAUGUUUGGUUAAGUUCUUAUGCAAGUUAAUUGAUUAUAUCUGUAGUUAUCUUAUUAGUUGAGGGACCAAAUUGAGAAAAAAAAUAAAUAUCAAAUUAUUUUAUACUUUAUUAAAUGGGCCAAAUAGUUAACUAUUGAAGGAGUUAGAAUUACUCUACCAAUAUUGGGUUCAUUUUGAAGCUAAUAAUAAAUGACAAAUUAUGGACUCAAGAAAAAUUUAAUUUGGUCAAGUUAAACCCGAGUUUUAGCCGUCUAAAGAAUAUUAUGGUUAUAAGAGUUUUAAAGGAUUAGAUUUUUCGCCAGUUGACUGCCACCACUAGUUUAGCUAAAUAAAUUAGAAUUUUAAGUUUUGGUUAAACAAAAUCUUUAUGUUAAGUAUUAAUAAUUAUACAUUUUUAAUUAAGAGGUAAUCAAUUAAAACGUAAUUCCUG
This 2731-nucleotide long non-coding RNA is filed under the name Olea europaea subsp. europaea. Lineage: Eukaryota; Viridiplantae; Streptophyta; Magnoliopsida; Lamiales; Oleaceae. The record is from RNAcentral.